Molecule: ribosomal RNA, 453 nt
Filed under: uncultured Porphyromonadaceae bacterium
Lineage: Bacteria; Pseudomonadati; Bacteroidota; Bacteroidia; Bacteroidales; Porphyromonadaceae
Description: partial 16S ribosomal RNA
Rfam family: Bacterial small subunit ribosomal RNA
Source: RNAcentral
ACGGAAGGCAGCAGUGAGGAAUAUUGGUCAAUGGGCGAGAGCCUGAACCAGCCAAGUCGCGUGAAGGAUGAAGGUUCUAUGGAUUGUAAACUCCUUUUGUUCGAGGGUAAAGUGAGGGAUGCGUCCCUUAUUGCAAGUAUCGAACGAAUAAGCAUCGGCUAACUCCGUGCCAGCAGCCGCGGUAAUACGGAGGAUGCGAGCGUUAUCCGGAUUUAUUGGGUUUAAAGGGUGCGUAGGCGGGAUGUUAAGUCAGCGGUGAAAGCGUGUAGCUCAACUAUACCAAGCCGUUGAAACUGGCGUUCUUGAGUGUAAACGAGGUAGGCGGAAUGUGACGUGUAGCGGUGAAAUGCUUAGAUAUGUCACAGAACCCCGAUUGCGAAGGCAGCUUACCAGCAUACAACUGACGCUGAGGCACGAAAGUGCGGGGAUCAAACAGGAUUAGAUACCCUGGUA